AACGAACGCUGGCGGCAGGCCUAACACAUGCAAGUCGAGCGAGGUAGCAAUACCUAGCGGCGGACGGGUGAGUAACGCGUGGGAACGUGCCCUUUGCUACGGAAUAGCCCUGGGAAACUGGGAGUAAUACCGUCUGUGCCCUUCGGGGGAAAGAUUUAUCGGCAAAGGAUCGGCUCGCGUGGGAUUAGGUAGUUGGUGGGGUAAUGGCCUACCAAGCCGACGAUCCAUAGCUGGUUUGAGAGGAUGAGCAGCCACACUGGGACUGAGACACGGCCCAGACUCCUACGGGAGGCAGCAGUGGGGGAUCUUGGACAGUGGGCGCAAGCCUGAUCGAGCCAUGCCGCGAGAGCGAUGAAGGCCUUAGGGUUGUAGAGCUCUUUCGUGGGGGAAGAGAAUGACUGUACCCCAAGGAGAAGCCCCGGCUAACUCCGUGCCAGCAGCCGCCGUAA
Molecule: ribosomal RNA, 449 nt
Filed under: uncultured bacterium
Lineage: Bacteria
Description: partial 16S ribosomal RNA
Rfam family: Bacterial small subunit ribosomal RNA
Source: RNAcentral